AUCAGGCUCCAGCAGCAGUGUUUCCUGCAGUCUGAAGGGAAGGCUGGACUGUCCUAUUAAGAAGCCUUGUAAUGAUACAACAUGAUUAAAAUGACUCAGAAGAAAUUACUUUGUGGGGGUCAAUAAGGGCUGAGAAGGGCAGGCUGAUCGUGGAACUGUGCUUUUAAAUGGACUAAUUCCGAGGGAGUGUGUUUAUCAUAGUCACACAUAACUGGCUGAAUAAUAAUCACACCAAAAUUAUGUGAAAAUUGUAGCCUUUCCAGGGGCUGAAGGUAGUUCAGUGGCUUUUUAUGUACAGAGCUGAUUUAUAUCAAAUGACACGGGUCUAAAAUUCUCACAUAAUGUUUUUGCAGAAAAUGACUAUCAGCUUUCUUCUUGGCUUCAAUUUGAAUGUCACUCAGAGAAAUAUCAAGUUACACAAUAUUACACAGCGUAAGCAGAAUGUAGCCAAAGGUACUGCAGCUAACGCUGCUGCAGUAAGCUUUAGCAUACCGAGAAGCCAGCUCUGCUGUUGCGGAUCCUGGAGAUGCAUUUCCUGUACAGUGACACUGGCCUUCCUGCUGGUCCAGCUGAAUGAGGAGAGUUGUAGAAAUUAUGCAGCAAGAGGACCAUCCUUCCCUUUGGAGCUGACCCCCAUGUUCUUUUACAAACCAAAGUGGGACAAGAUUUGCAGUUACUACGUGUUGGAACAUUUUUUAACGCAACUCCCAGAAAUGCAGUUAAUUUUUCCAGUGAAUUGGAACUUACAGAAAGUCAUCCUGCAUCCCAGAGAACCAAAACUGCACAGUUUGGCCUGUGGGGGUGGAUGCCUCGUGUGAGACUCACCCAAUCUGCCUCUGUGACCUGGGCUGGUUACGGGUCCUGCUGUUCAGCCAUUGGCUUCAGAGGGAGAUUUGCCUCACAGAAUGUGGGGUGAACACAAACUUUCCACUCAUACAUCUGCAAGAGCAGAGAUUUUGCUCCAACUGCUGACCUCUCCUACGUUGCUUGCUCUCUGGGGUGAUUUCUCUUGAUCUCAAAGCAUAUGAACUGAGACUAUUCAUGCAGCCGUAAAAACAACGCAGAUUAAUGAGAGUCACUCCCUACCAGGUGACCCCUAGAAAGCCUGCUCCGCAGACACUGGAAGGCAAGAUUUUUUAAUCAGUUUUGGUCAGACAGCGAUUAAAUCACUGGACUUUUUUUUCCCAUCAGCUACAUCUUCAGUGUGGAAACACUGUGGUCAAUUUUUAUGACCAUUCAGCAGGGCUGUACUCAGCACUGCAUGUUUCCUGGUAGGCAUCCACGUUGCGUGCUUUUAAAAUUCAUUUCAGGUAAUCUGCCGUAAAGGAGAAUAUUGAGGCUGUGUAUCUUGGCCACCCAAUCUAUACCCUCCUGUUGGCAGAUCUAUACACCUCUGCCAUAAUAAAAGCACCGGUGAGCAGAGCA
RNAcentral lists this long non-coding RNA (1425 nucleotides) under Coturnix japonica (Japanese quail). Its description in RNAcentral is "lncRNA (ENSCJPG00005015885.1)". The record is from RNAcentral. Lineage: Eukaryota; Metazoa; Chordata; Aves; Galliformes; Phasianidae.